Molecule: ribosomal RNA, 468 nt
Filed under: uncultured bacterium
Lineage: Bacteria
Description: partial 16S ribosomal RNA
Rfam family: Bacterial small subunit ribosomal RNA
Source: RNAcentral
GACGAACGCUGGCGGCGUGCUUAACACAUGCAAGUCGAACGGAAAGGCCCUGCUUUUGUGGGGUGCUCGAGUGGCGAACGGGUGAGUAACACGUGAGUAACCUGCCCUUGACUUUGGGAUAACUUCAGGAAACUGGGGCUAAUACCGGAUAGGAGCUCCUGCUGCAUGGUGGGGGUUGGAAAGUUUCGGCGGUUGGGGAUGGACUCGCGGCUUAUCAGCUUGUUGGUGGGGUAGUGGCUUACCAAGGCUUUGACGGGUAGCCGGCCUGAGAGGGUGACCGGCCACAUUGGGACUGAGAUACGGCCCAGACUCCUACGGGAGGCAGCAGUGGGGAAUAUUGCACAGUGGGCGGAAGCCUGAUGCAGCGGCGCCGCGUGCGGGAUGACGGCCUUCGGGUUGUAAACCGCUUUCGCCUGUGACGAAGCGUGAGUGACGGUAAUGGGUAAAGAAGCACCGGCUAACUACGUG